This 222-nucleotide long non-coding RNA is filed under the name Brassica napus (rape). RNAcentral's name for it is "long non-coding RNA (BNAP_LNC008716)". The record is from RNAcentral. Lineage: Eukaryota; Viridiplantae; Streptophyta; Magnoliopsida; Brassicales; Brassicaceae.
ACAUCAACGAGAACAACAAACCCUUUUUUGUAUUUCUUUCUGAGUGACUGUUUUUCGAAGAGUGGUUGAGCUAGUUGGCUCCAAUGUUUCUAUGAGUAAGUAAGAACUCAUAAAUAUACCAUGGUUACUAUGAGAGUGUUUCUUCAAGAGGUAUUUUGUUACUAUAAUAAUUUGGAAUCGGAAUAUCUGUAAGUUUGUGCCAUCAUAAAUCGUAUUCUACAU